AGUGAACGCUGGCGGUAGGCCUAACACAUGCAAGUCGAACGGCAGCACAGUAAGAGCUUGCUCUUACGGGUGGCGAGUGGCGGACGGGUGAGGAAUACAUCGGAAUCUACUUUUUCGAGGGGGAUAACGUAGGGAAACUUACGCUAAUACCGCAUACGACCUACGGGUGAAAGCAGGGGAUCUUCGGACCUUGCGCGAUUGAAUGAGCCGAUGUCGGAUUAGCUAGUUGGCGGGGUAAAGGCCCACCAAGGCGACGAUCCGUAGCUGGUCUGAGAGGAUGAUCAGCCACACUGGAACUGAGACACGGUCCAGACCCCUACGGGAGGCAGCAGUGGGGAAUAUUGGACAAUGGGCGGAAGCCUGAUCCAGCCAUACCGCGUGGGGGAAGAAGGCCUUCGGGUUGUAAAGCCCUUUUGUUGGGGAAGAAAAGCAGCAGGUUAAUACCCCGCUGUUCUGACGGUACCCAAAGAAUAAGCACCGGCUAACUUCGUG
This 492-nucleotide ribosomal RNA is filed under the name uncultured bacterium. RNAcentral's name for it is "partial 16S ribosomal RNA". It matches the Rfam family "Bacterial small subunit ribosomal RNA", at positions 29 to 507 of the family's 1533-position model. The record is from RNAcentral.